Quercus robur (English oak) is the source of this 1848-nucleotide long non-coding RNA. RefSeq lists it as uncharacterized. Lineage: Eukaryota; Viridiplantae; Streptophyta; Magnoliopsida; Fagales; Fagaceae. The transcript is spliced from 6 exons. The record is from RefSeq and is a predicted model, not a curated record.
UGUUACUGCCUAGUCAUCAAUUUGCUACCCUCACCGAAGCUGCUUCUCCCCUCUCUUUUCUUUUUCUCUCAUUUACAAACAAAACCCGAUAACCUCUUUGUCCCUUUUUCCCUGAUAAGCCAAACCAAACGAAACCAUUCGACUACUUUUCGAUAUAUUACUAUCAAACGCAGACCCACAAACGUCUUUCACCAAUUCUCACUUCCUUCCUCUCCUCUCCUAAUAUUGCGACUGUGUCCUCUACGCCAAUGAAAGAGAAAUUUGUUUAUAGCUAUUGAUGUGCAAUAUGAUGCAUGUCCCUAAAAAUCAGGCCGACUUCUCACAAAAAGCUUUCCUCUUCGCUUUUUGGACUGUAGUUCACCAUUAGGCCUACUUCCUCCCAUUGUAUAGCGUCCUGCUACCGUCUUUUCGAAGUCGCUACCAAACUCUAUUGUGUAAUGUAGCUGGAGCUGAAUUUGAAUAUGAGGGGACGUGCUUGGGAACCCAAAGAUGGAUGAUUUUGUUGAUGAUAAUUCAAGAAUCUCAUUUGGUCACCAAUUGAUACUUAUAUUAGAUGAACUCUAUGAGUCAGCCAAAGAAAGCUGCAAUGGUGAUUGUGUGAAUUUAAAUGAGAGCAACAUUAUAUUGGAUAUUCAAGUGAUCGAUGAGGAACAGCCUUUUCAAAUAACCCCAUAUUCCAAAAGCUGAAAAAUAAGCUAUACCAAUCUGGUACGUAAGCAUUUAAACAUAUUGUUAUCCUUAUUAAGUUAUAUAAGCAUUUAGACAAUUUUGAAAUUUUGCUAUUACUGUUGCUGCUUCAAAUAAACCUCAUGUAAGUUCUGCAUCUUGAAGAUCAAGUAAAGAAUACCUUAAGAGAAGAUUUUUUGAAGAGAACUCCAAUGAGAGUCUUCUUUCUAUAACAAAUCCUGCAUAUUGGUGUUAGGUAAGCCUUUCCCUCUUUGUUUAUGUGAGUUUUUUUUUUUUUUUUUUACUCUUUUUAAUAACAUAUAUAAAUGUCCUUAACAUUUUUCACAUUACUUUUGUUGUUUUCUAAAAUAAAUUUGUUGUUUGGUGUUAAUAUCCCUAUUUGAUGCAAAAAGCUUUGUUGUUUUCUAAAAUAAAUUUGAUGUUUGGUGUUUAUUUCCCUAUUUGAUGCAGAAAACAAAAUAUUAUAAACAAUUAUUCUUUUUUCCUUCUAUUCACAUAUCUGUUGUGCUUGGAAAGUUUUUCCCCUUUCAUUUCAAAAUGCAUGACAUCACCCCUCAUCUUUAUAAUAAUGUCAUGAUAUGUGAUAAGUAUCUUAUUUUAGCUUAGGGUAGAAGUUAUUUUUAUUGUGAACAUGAUGUGAUGAUGCAAUGAUGAGUUUAUUUUAUUUUGGCUUCGGAUAAUAGCCAUUCUUAUCGUGAACAAGGUCACUGACCUGAUCAAACCACUUUGCAACAAGUUUAGCCCUAUACCGAUCAAUAAAACAGUUAACCUUCUGUUUAAGCUUGUAAACCCACUUGUUACAAAUAACAUUUUGAUGUGUGAGAUGUGGUACAAGGGUCCAUGUGUGGUUAGAUAAAAGGGAAUCAAACUCAAGGUCCAUGGCUUUCCUCCAUUCCUCAGACACUAUAGCUUGAGAAUAACAUCGUGGAGCAGGUGGAAUUUGAGUGUUGUCUAUUGAAAUAUCGAAAAAUUGAAGAAAGCUAGUCUUUUUUUAAUUGGUUUCUUGUAAGUUGGUUAGUUUGUAUCUUUUCGGCUUACUCUGUUCAGUAUAUAACUAUAUAUAAGACGGUCUCUGUAACUUAGUUCAUUAUGUGAAUAUAGAAACGACUUUCCAAAGUCUUGGUUCAUCAGCUUAAAGUUCUAUGGUCUUCAUCUUCUAUG